RNAcentral lists this ribosomal RNA (460 nucleotides) under uncultured bacterium. RNAcentral's name for it is "partial 16S ribosomal RNA". It matches the Rfam family "Bacterial small subunit ribosomal RNA", at positions 338 to 795 of the family's 1533-position model. The record is from RNAcentral.
CCUAUGGGGGGCAGCAGUGAGGAAUAUUGGUCAAUGGACGAGAGUCUGAACCAGCCAAGCAGCGUGAAGGAUGACUGCCCUAUGGGUUGUAAACUUCUUUUAUAUAGGAAUAAAAUGUUCCACGUGUGGGAUUCUGUAUGUACCAUAUGAAUAAGCAUCGGCUAACUCCGUGCCAGCAGCCGCGGUAAUACGGAGGAUCCGAGCGUUAUCCGGAUUUAUUGGGUUUAAAGGGUGCGUAGGUGGAUUGUUAAGUCAGUUGUGAAAGUUUGCGGCUCAACCGUAAAAGUGCAGUUGAAACUGGCAGUCUUGAGUACAGUAGAGGUGGGCGGAAUGCGUGGUGUAGCGGUGAAAUGCUUAGAUAUCACGAAGAACUCCGAUUGCGAAGGCAGCUUACUGGACUGCAACUGACGCUGAGGCUCGAAAGUGUGGGUAUCAAACAGGAUUAGAUACCCGAGUAGUC